RNAcentral lists this unclassified non-coding RNA (381 nucleotides) under soil metagenome. Its description in RNAcentral is "partial contains 5.8S ribosomal RNA, internal transcribed spacer 2, and large subunit ribosomal RNA". The stretch from base 1 to 120 matches the Rfam family "5.8S ribosomal RNA", at positions 35 to 154 of the family's 154-position model. The record is from RNAcentral.
GAUGAAGAACGCAGCGAAAUGCGAUAAGUAAUGUGAAUUGCAUAAUUCCGCGAAUCAUCGAAUCUUUGAACGCAACUUGCGCUCUCGGGUAUUCCCGGGAGCAUACCUGUUUGAGUAUCAGUAACACCCUCACCUACCAACUGUGGUUGGAAAGUGGUAUUGGGCAUUCAAGUCGUCAGACUUGCCGCCUGGAAAAUAUUCGGUGCCGGUUAAAAGUAUUUUUACUUUCAAAGGCAAGCUAGGAACAGUUAGUUCUGAAGGCCGGCGAAUGGGAAAAGCUUUUGGCUGUAGUGCUGUCUAUAAACUACACAUUUUGUGUGAAUUUGAUCUCAAAUCAGGUAGGACUACCCGCUGAACUUAAGCAUAUCAAUAAGCGGAGGA